UACGGGGGGAGCAAACGUUGUUCGGAAUCACUGGGCGUAAAGGGCGUGUAGGCGGUUCUGUAAGUGGUGUGUGAAAUCCGAUGGCUCAACCAUCGAGCUGCGCUCCAUACUGCAGGACUUGAGUACAGCAGAGGAAAGUGGAAUUCCCGGUGUAGCGGUGAAAUGCGUAGAUAUCGGCAGGAACACCCAGGGGGAAACCAGUCGACUGGGCAGCACCUGACGCUGAGGUGCGAGAGCGUGGGGAGCGAACCGG
Molecule: ribosomal RNA, 253 nt
Filed under: uncultured bacterium
Lineage: Bacteria
Description: partial 16S ribosomal RNA
Rfam family: Bacterial small subunit ribosomal RNA
Source: RNAcentral